AGAGUUUGAUCCUGGCUCAGGAUGAACGCUGGCGGCGUGCCUAAUACAUGCAAGUCGAGCGAACGGACGAGAAGCUUGCUUCUCUGAUGUUAGCGGCGGACGGGUGAGUAACACGUGGAUAACCUACCUAUAAGACUGGGAUAACUUCGGGAAACCGGAGCUAAUACCGGAUAAUAUUUUGAACCGCAUGGUUCAAAAGUGAAAGACGGUCUUGCUGUCACUUAUAGAUGGAUCCGCGCUGCAUUAGCUAGUUGGUAAGGUAACGGCUUACCAAGGCAACGAUGCAUAGCCGACCUGAGAGGGUGAUCGGCCACACUGGAACUGAGACACGGUCCAGACUCCUACGGGAGGCAGCAGUAGGGAAUCUUCCGCAAUGGGCGAAAGCCUGACGGAGCAACGCCGCGUGAGUGAUGAAGGUCUUCGGAUCGUAAAACUCUGUUAUUAGGGAAGAACAUAUGUGUAAGUAACUGUGCACAUCUUGACGGUACCUAAUCAGAAAGCCACGGCUAACUACGUGCCAGCAGCCGCGGUAAUACGUAGGUGGCAAGCGUUAUCCGGAAUUAUUGGGCGUAAAGCGCGCGUAGGCGGUUUUUUAAGUCUGAUGUGAAAGCCCACGGCUCAACCGUGGAGGGUCAUUGGAAACUGGAAAACUUGAGUGCAGAAGAGGAAAGUGGAAUUCCAUGUGUAGCGGUGAAAUGCGCAGAGAUAUGGAGGAACACCAGUGGCGAAGGCGACUUUCUGGUCUGUAACUGACGCUGAUGUGCGAAAGCGUGGGGAUCAAACAGGAUUAGAUACCCUGGUAGUCCACGCCGUAAACGAUGAGUGCUAAGUGUUAGGGGGUUUCCGCCCCUUAGUGCUGCAGCUAACGCAUUAAGCACUCCGCCUGGGGAGUACGACCGCAAGGUUGAAACUCAAAGGAAUUGACGGGGACCCGCACAAGCGGUGGAGCAUGUGGUUUAAU
RNAcentral lists this ribosomal RNA (961 nucleotides) under Staphylococcus aureus S62_POEL. RNAcentral's name for it is "bacterial SSU rRNA". It matches the Rfam family "Bacterial small subunit ribosomal RNA", at positions 8 to 950 of the family's 1533-position model. The record is from RNAcentral. Lineage: Bacteria; Bacillati; Bacillota; Bacilli; Caryophanales; Staphylococcaceae.